Ictalurus punctatus (channel catfish) is the source of this 709-nucleotide long non-coding RNA. The record is from Ensembl. Lineage: Eukaryota; Metazoa; Chordata; Actinopteri; Siluriformes; Ictaluridae.
AAAAGAGCAGAAUGUAGAAUAAUGCACAGCUUCCUCAUGACACUGAACACCGUGACUUUCUGAAAAUAUGAACAGUUUGGCCUUUUUACAUCAGUCUUGUACUGAUCAAUUCAUUUUUAUCUGCAGACGUGCACGAUGGAUUCAUCCAUGGCACUGAUAAUUGCGAUCACAGCCACAGCAGGGUUCUCCACAGGAUUAAUUAUCGGACAGCAGAAUCCCCCUGAUCCUGCGAUCAGAACAGUACCCCUGCCACAGCAGGUCUGGUUUGAGGAACGGCACUCCGCUGUACCACUGGUACACUUUGAUGUACCAAUCAGACGACUAACUCAACAACAUAAGAUUAGAGAAAUUAAAUGAAGUACCUGAAAUGUAAACUGUAAACAAGGAACAGAAGACUCUGGGUUUUUCAGUGUAUCUGAUUACAUCAUUAAAUCAUUCUUUAGCCUAACAUAAAGUAACCUAAAGGUCUGAUGAUAAACUAUUUGCUUUAUAAUUGAGACUGUAAUGUGGGAAUAUUAAUGGACUUUCAGAUUCUGUGGAAACAACCAUUCUGAUUUAACUGAAAUGUACUUCUUUUUCUUUUACUUGAUUGUAAGAGACUAUAUUUUAAUCAAGCUAUUAAAUGUGUUAUUCUCUCUUCAUCUCAGUGAAGAUUAUUACAAACAACACUGAUAGAAAUUUCCAUUUCUUCUUCCUCUUCCUCUUCUUC